RNAcentral lists this long non-coding RNA (1215 nucleotides) under Cricetulus griseus (Chinese hamster). RNAcentral describes it as "lncRNA (ENSCGRG00015033696.1)". Lineage: Eukaryota; Metazoa; Chordata; Mammalia; Rodentia; Cricetidae. The record is from RNAcentral.
CUUUGACACAGUUCUUCUAAGUAGUUGGAGCCUGCUAGAAGCCCCUUAUGUAUUUUUUAAAUACUUGUCUGUUUCUUCUUUUGAGAACUGCUUGUUAACCUUAUUAGCUCAUUUACUGAUUGAUAGGUGUGUGUGUGUGUGUGUGUGUGUGUGUGUGUGUGUGUGUGUGUGUGUGUGUGUGUUGUCAAACAUUAUAGAAACAUCAAAAGUAGCAGGGAAAAAAAAAUGAAACUCCCAUCAUGAAUCCCUCUAACAGAAACUUCCUGAGGGCACACUAUAAUGCUACAUUGAUAUUUUUGUUACCUAUUACUAGAUAACAAACCACCUAGUAAUACAGUGACUGAAACAACUAUUAUGUGUGUUUGUGGUUCUGUGGGUCAAGAAUUGGGAAAUGGCCCAGCCUGGUCCAUAAUAGGCUGGAAGAUAAGCCCUUAAAAGCCAUUUUUGGUCUCCUGUCUAGAAUUCUCCCAUCCCUCUCUCUCUCUCUCUCUCUCUCUCUCUCUCUCUCUCUCUCUCUCUCUCUCUCUCUCUCACACACACACACACACACACACACACACACACACACACACACACACAGUUUCCACUCUUCACUUAGGCUCCUCACAGCCUGGCCUUCUCAUCAUGGUCCUAUUUCUUGCUGGAUGACUAUCUUCCUCAUGGUAAAUGUUCGCAGAAACCUUGGAAGAUCCUGAGCAUCAUCACUCCUGCCACAUUCCAUAGAUCAAAGAGUGUAUGCCAUUAAGACUGAUCCAGACUCAAGGGAAAGGAAUACCUGGAUUCCACCUUUCCAUGCAGAUGAAGGCAAAUUAAAGACAUAGUUGUGGGCAUGUAGAAGAAAAGUCACCACACCCAGGGCUACAGGACCUAUACCCAGUCUCUGUUCUGACAGAAAGAACAGGCAAUACAAAUGCAAGUAAUGGAAGAGGUAUACCACGAGACAGAAGCAUGUAAAGGAGAAAGAGCAGUCGAUGAAGGAUUUCAAGAAUAUGGAUUAUUCCAUAUAACACGGGUGGUGACUGAGAUUACAGUAGGAAAGGAAAGAAAGAAGACUGCCCCAAAAUGGACAAAUACAAUGGGCCAAAUGGCCCUGGAAAAGGAGAAGGGGGAGUACCUGCUGCCCGAACCUGAAAUCCUUUCAGACUGUGUGAAAAGUAGAGUGAAUGGGUGGGUGUGAGUGCUGCACGGUUGAGUGGAAGAGAAAAGAAUAGGCUG